Molecule: transfer RNA, 77 nt
Filed under: Candidatus Uhrbacteria bacterium CG_4_10_14_0_2_um_filter_41_7
Lineage: Bacteria; Candidatus Uhriibacteriota
Description: tRNA-Leu
Rfam family: tRNA
About the family: Transfer RNA (tRNA) molecules are approximately 80 nucleotides in length. Their secondary structure includes four short double-helical elements and three loops (D, anti-codon, and T loops). Further hydrogen bonds mediate the characteristic L-shaped molecular structure. tRNAs have two regions of fundamental functional importance: the anti-codon, which is responsible for specific mRNA codon recognition, and the 3' end, to which the tRNAs corresponding amino acid is attached (by aminoacyl-tRNA synthetases). tRNAs cope with the degeneracy of the genetic code in two manners: having more than one tRNA (with a specific anti-codon) for a particular amino acid; and 'wobble' base-pairing, i.e. permitting non-standard base-pairing at the 3rd anti-codon position.
Source: RNAcentral
ACCUUCGUGGUGAAAUUGGUAAACACAACUGGUUUAGAACCAGUACGCUGAGAGUUCGAGUCUCUCCGAAGGUACAA